CGCGCAUCAGAAAAGGGAGGCUCUUUGCACACUGGUGGAGCUAUUAGCCAGGUUACUAGGAAGGAAAGAAUGGAAAAAGAGUUGGGUAGGCCGGUAGCUGUACCAGAGAUGUUCAAGGUUACUCACGUCAAGAAGAGUACGAACCCCACAGAAGAAGAAAGAUGGAUUGAGCCACGUGCUCAAGAGACAUAUGAUAGGUAUAUACGAAUAUCUCAGGA
Long non-coding RNA from Solanum tuberosum (potato), 218 nucleotides. RefSeq lists it as uncharacterized. The transcript is spliced from 3 exons. The record is from RefSeq and is a predicted model, not a curated record. Lineage: Eukaryota; Viridiplantae; Streptophyta; Magnoliopsida; Solanales; Solanaceae.